Molecule: ribosomal RNA, 476 nt
Filed under: uncultured organism
Description: partial 16S ribosomal RNA
Rfam family: Bacterial small subunit ribosomal RNA
Source: RNAcentral
UACACUCCUGCGGGAGGCAGCAGUGGGGAAUUUUGGACAAUGGGCGAAAGCCUGAUCCAGCAAUGCCGCGUGAGUGAAGAAGGCCUUCGGGUUGUAAAGCUCUUUUGUCAGGGAAGAAACGGUGAAAGCUAAUAUCUUUUGCUAAUGACGGUACCUGAAGAAUAAGCAACGGCUAACUACGUGCCAGCAGCCGCGGUAAUACGUAGGGUGCAAGCGUUAAUCGGAAUUACUGGGCGUAAAGCGUGCGCAGGCGGUUUUGUAAGUCUGAUGUGAAAUCCCCGGGCUCAACCUGGGAAUUGCAUUGGAGACUGCAAGGCUAGAAUCUGGCAGAGGGGGGUAGAAUUCCACGUGUAGCAGUGAAAUGCGUAGAUAUGUGGAGGAACACCGAUGGCGAAGGCAGCCCCCUGGGUCAAGAUUGACGCUCAUGCACGAAAGCGUGGGGAGCAAACAGGAUUAGAAACCCGGGUAGUCCCAUG